Molecule: long non-coding RNA, 448 nt
Organism: Sapajus apella (tufted capuchin)
Lineage: Eukaryota; Metazoa; Chordata; Mammalia; Primates; Cebidae
Exons: 3
Source: RefSeq, a predicted model, not a curated record
UGCCUUGAUAUUUAUUGAUCGAGCUGUACACUGAGCCCAGGCCUAGCCCUUUUAAGGGGCCCUGUGUGGAACAGCGCGGGUUUCCCAGAUCCAAACCUAUCACUCUUCACCAUUCGGUCCUCGAGCUGGUGUGAAGCUUGCGAUGCUAACCAGCAGUGACAGCAGGCCAUCAAGGAGCAGGCCCACGUCACUCAGGUGAUGGGAGUCAGUUAACUGAGUCCAGAUAGAGAGGGAUGAAUAUGAGAACAUCUAAAAGGAGAGAGGGCCAUGUGGCGGCAGAGGACGAGGGAGAUGUCAGAGCAGCAGGGCCCUUGGAGGCGGAGGCCGAGCACCUGCGGAAGGAGCUGGAGAAUCUGGUAGGGCCGCUCUAAGCUCAGGUGCAAGUCAGUAAGGGAUUAGUCGCCUGAACCCCGAGCCGGAGGAGAGUCUGCGGGAGCCGGAGCAGGAG